GAACCGCACAAACGUUAUUCGGAAUCACUGGGCUUAAAGGGUGCGUAGGCGGCGCUGUAAGUUGGAUGUGAAAUCCCACAGCUCAACUGUGGAACUGCGUUCAAUACUGCAGUGCUUGAGGGAGAUAGAGGAGAGCGGAACUACGGGUGGAGCGGUGAAAUGCGUUGAUAUCCGUAGGAACACCGGUGGCGAAAGCGGCUCUCUGGGUCUCUUCUGACGCUGAGGCACGAAAGCUAGGGGGUAGCGAACGGGAUUAGAUACCCCGGUAGUCCUAGCUGUAAACGAUGAGCACUGGGUUGGGGAGGUUCCCCAUGCCUUCCUGGCCGAACUGAAAAAGUUAAGUGCUCCGCCUGGGGAGUAUGGUCGCAAGGCUG
Molecule: ribosomal RNA, 374 nt
Filed under: uncultured organism
Description: partial 16S ribosomal RNA
Rfam family: Bacterial small subunit ribosomal RNA
Source: RNAcentral